ACACUUACCUGGAAGAGGAGAUACCAUGAUCACUAAGGUGGUUUCCCCAGGGCAAGGCUUAUCCAUUGUACCCCAGAUGUGCUGAUCCCUGCAAUUUCCCCAAAUAUGGGAAACUCAACUGCAUAAGUUGUGGUAGUGGGGGACUGCGUUCAUGCUCUCUCCUG
Small nuclear RNA from Microtus ochrogaster (prairie vole), 164 nucleotides. Its record names the gene U1. It matches the Rfam family "U1 spliceosomal RNA". From Rfam's summary of the family: U1 is a small nuclear RNA (snRNA) component of the spliceosome (involved in pre-mRNA splicing). Its 5' end forms complementary base pairs with the 5' splice junction, thus defining the 5' donor site of an intron. There are significant differences in sequence and secondary structure between metazoan and yeast U1 snRNAs, the latter being much longer (568 nucleotides as compared to 164 nucleotides in human). Lineage: Eukaryota; Metazoa; Chordata; Mammalia; Rodentia; Cricetidae. The record is from Ensembl.